Molecule: non-coding RNA, 45 nt
Filed under: Trichobilharzia regenti
Lineage: Eukaryota; Metazoa; Platyhelminthes; Trematoda; Strigeidida; Schistosomatidae
Source: RNAcentral
AUUUAGCUGAUGAGUCCCAAACAGGACGAAAUGUGCGUUUUGGAU